AGUGAACGCUGGCGGUAGGCCUAACACAUGCAAGUCGAACGGCAGCACAGGAGAGCUUGCUCUCUGGGUGGCGAGUGGCGGACGGGUGAGGAAUACAUCGGAAUCUACUCUGUCGUGGGGGAUAACGUAGGGAAACUUACGCUAAUACCGCAUACGACCUACGGGUGAACGCAGGGGAUCUUCGGACCUUGCGCGAUUGAAUGAGCCGAUGUCGAAUUAGCUAGUCGGGGGGGUAAAGGCCCACCAAGGCGACGAUCCGUAGCUGGUCUGAGAGGAUGAUCAGCCACACUGGAACUGAGACACGGUGCAGACCCCUACGGGAGGCAGGAGUGGGGAAUAUUGGACAAUGGGCGCAAGCCUGAUCCAGCCAUACCGCGUGGGUGAAGAGGGCCUUCGGGUUGUAAAGCCCUUUUGUUGGGAAAGAAAUCCAGCUGGCUAAUACCCGGUUGGGAUGACGGUACCCAAAGAAUAAGCACCGGCUAACUUCGUGCCAGCAGCCGCGGUAA
This 506-nucleotide ribosomal RNA is filed under the name uncultured bacterium. RNAcentral's name for it is "partial 16S ribosomal RNA". It matches the Rfam family "Bacterial small subunit ribosomal RNA", at positions 29 to 523 of the family's 1533-position model. The record is from RNAcentral.